Non-coding RNA from Schistosoma rodhaini, 48 nucleotides. NCBI's taxonomy places the organism in Eukaryota, Metazoa, Platyhelminthes, Trematoda, Strigeidida, Schistosomatidae. The record is from Rfam.
AUCCAGCUGAAGAGUCCCAAAUAGGGAGAAACGCGCCUUGUCCUAGAU